RNAcentral lists this ribosomal RNA (837 nucleotides) under Murella muralis. RNAcentral describes it as "partial 16S ribosomal RNA". Lineage: Eukaryota; Metazoa; Mollusca; Gastropoda; Stylommatophora; Helicidae. The record is from RNAcentral.
AUUAAUUACAUUAUAACUGCUGUGUUUUCACGAAGGGAUACGAGCUAAAAAGGAAGUUAUUGUGGUAUAUAAGUACUAUGUAGUAGAAUAGUAUAUUUAUUUCUUUUUAGUUGUGAAAGGCUUGUCACGUUUUCCGAUAACUUGAUAUAGGAGAAAAAUAUUAAGUAUAUACACAAGCAAAUAAAGCUUAGCUUUUUUGCGCAUAUAAAAAUUAUAUUUAACCUAUUAUAAAGUGUAAUUGCUAAUUAUAAAUUAUAAGAACAUUUAUCAUAUAAAUAUUAUAUUAAAUACCCUAUGCUUAAGAAUAGUUGUCAUUAAUUCAUAUUGUUAGUAUUAGUAGUAGUAGUAAGUAUUUUAAAGGAAUUCGGCAAAUAUUAUAUGCUCGACUGUUUAUCAAAAACAUAACUAUAUGUACUAAUAUAUAGCUUUUUCUGCUCAAUGGUAUAUCUUAAUAGCCGCAGUACCCUGACUGUGCAAAGGUAGCAUAAUCAGUUGGCUUAUAAUUGAAGUCUGGCAUGAACGAAAUUACGGGUAGAAGCUAUCUAUAAAAUAUUUUUAUGAACUUGGUUAGUAAGUGAAAAAACUUACAGAAUUCAAAUAGACGAGAAGACCCUAGAAAUUUUAAUACGUACAGCAUUUUUGUUGGGGCGACAGAGUUACAUAGAACUAACUUUAAAGAACAUGAAACAGAGGUGAUAGAUAAAAUUACUCUAGGGAUAACAGCAUAAUUUUAUUAGUUUAUGACCUCGAUGUUGGACUAGGGACGGUAUACUUUAGAAGAGUGUACUGUAUGCUCUGUUCGAGCAGCAAUACCUACAUGAUCUGAGUUCAGACCGG